This 27-nucleotide non-coding RNA is filed under the name Cricetulus griseus (Chinese hamster). Lineage: Eukaryota; Metazoa; Chordata; Mammalia; Rodentia; Cricetidae. The record is from RNAcentral.
UAUAGAGUGGAAACUGGAGCUGAUAUC